GCAAGCUUUCCAGUCCGUUACUGACGCUAAAGCUCGAAGGUGCGGGUAUCGAACAGGGAUUAGAUACCCUGGUAGUCCCGCACGGGUAAACGAUGGAUGCCCGCUGUAUGCGAUACACAGUAUGCGGCCAAGCGAAAGCGUUAAGCAUCCCACCUGGGGAAGUACGCCGGCAAACGGUGAAACUCAAAGGAAUUGACGGGGGCCCGCACAAGCGGAGGAACAUGUGGUUUAAUUCGAUGAUACGCGAGGAACCUUACCCGGGCUUGAAUUGCAGCAGAACGAUGGAGAGAUCCUGAGGCCUUCGGGGCUGCUGUGGAGGUGCUGCAUGGUUGUCGUCAGCUCGUGCCGUGAGGUGUCGGCUUAAGUGCCAUAACGAGCGCAACCCCCUCUGCCAGUUGCCAUCAGGUCAUGCUGGGCACUCUGGCAGCACUGCCACCGUAAGGUGUGAGGAAGGUGGGGAUGACGUCAAAUCAGCACGGCCGACGUGAGGUGCUACACACGUGCUACAAUGUGUAUACAGACCGUGGGGGUCGCGCGAGAUCCUCCAAUCCAGAAAGUCAUCGUCAAUUCGGAAUGGAUCUGCAACCCGACGCCACGAAGC
Molecule: ribosomal RNA, 601 nt
Filed under: uncultured bacterium
Lineage: Bacteria
Description: bacterial SSU rRNA
Rfam family: Bacterial small subunit ribosomal RNA
Source: RNAcentral